UACGUAGGGAGCAAGCGUUAUCCGGAUUUACUGGGUGUAAAGGGCGUGUAGGCGGGAUGGCAAGUCAGAUGUGAAAUCCAGGGGCUCAACCCCUGAACUGCAUUUGAAACUGUCGUUCUUGAGUACUGGAGAGGUUGACGGAAUUCCUAGUGUAGCGGUGAAAUGCGUAGAUAUUAGGAGGAACACCAGUGGCGAAGGCGGUCAACUGGACAGCAACUGACGCUGAGGCGCGAAAGCGUGGGGAGCAAACAGG
Molecule: ribosomal RNA, 253 nt
Filed under: uncultured bacterium
Lineage: Bacteria
Description: partial 16S ribosomal RNA
Rfam family: Bacterial small subunit ribosomal RNA
Source: RNAcentral